CCUACGGGAGGCAGCAGUGGGGAAUAUUGGGCAAUGGACGCAAGCCUGACCCAGCAACGCCGCGUGAGGGAAGAAGGCUUUCGGGUUGUAAACUUCUUUUGUCAGAGACGAAGAAAGUGACGGUACCUGACGAAUAAGCCACGGCUAACUACGUGCCAGCAGCCGCGGUAAUACGUAGGUGGCAAGCGUUAUCCGGAUUUAUUGGGUGUAAAGGGCGUGUAGGCGGGAAGGAAAGUCAGAUGUGAAAACUAUGGGCUCAACCCAUAGACUGCAUUUGAAACUGUAUUUCUUGAGUGCUGGAGAGGCAAUCGGAAUUCCGUGUGUAGCGGUGAAAUGCGUAGAUAUACGGAGGAACACCAGUGGCGAAGGCGGAUUGCUGGACAGUAACUGACGCUGAGGCGCGAAAGCGUGGGGAGCAAACAGGAUUAGAUACCCGUGUAGUC
This 443-nucleotide ribosomal RNA is filed under the name uncultured bacterium. RNAcentral's name for it is "partial 16S ribosomal RNA". It matches the Rfam family "Bacterial small subunit ribosomal RNA", at positions 338 to 795 of the family's 1533-position model. The record is from RNAcentral.